This 1392-nucleotide long non-coding RNA is filed under the name Heterocephalus glaber (naked mole-rat). RNAcentral describes it as "lncRNA (ENSHGLG00000049308.1)". Lineage: Eukaryota; Metazoa; Chordata; Mammalia; Rodentia; Bathyergidae. The record is from RNAcentral.
GUAUUUGAACCAAAGCAGUCAGGUUCCAGAUCCUGUGAUCUGCUGCUUUUUUGGGGGGGUUGGCCUUGAAUUUGUUAUGUAGUAACCCAGGCUGGCCUUGAACUUGUGGCGAUCCUCCUGUCUCAGCCUCCCAAGUGCUGGGAUUACAGGUGUAUGCCACCAUGCUGGACUCUACUGCCUUCAUGCAGCAUUCAGUACACCUGUUUGUGUACUGCCCUCUAACACAUACAUACACACACACAAAAUCCAGUUUCUACAGAACUCACCCUCCCACCAAUCUAUUUCAGAAGGCCAGUGUGCUUAGACAGUACUCUCAAGAGUCUCAUCCCAGAGCAUGAGAACCUAAUAUCUGCAGCUAUAUACUGUGGGUGCCAGCCAUAGGGGCACAGAAUGUUGAUGAGUCAGAGGAAGGAGAGAGUGUCCUUGCUUGUGUGUCAUGGGAGGGCCGAGGAGGAGGUGGCAUUUGAGUUAGACUUUAACAUUUUGGAGGGAUGUUGAGAAGAGGUUGGGGAAAGGACUGCUGGCAGAAGAACCAGCAGAGGCUAAAGCCAUGAUGAAUGACCUUUUAGAGUCUGAGUGCCCAAACUGCAACCCCAAACCCACUUAUUUAUUGCAAAAUGCCAACACUGCAAUUAAACCUGCGUACUGAAGCUUUAGUUUAGCAAAAACAACUGUUAUCCGAUGUUCAGCUGCUGGGGUAACUUGGCCCAUGUGGCAACAUAGAGGGCUCAGUGUGCCUGCUGCAGCAUGCAUGCCAUAGGCCCCUUUAGGGCAGGACCCAGCAGUAUGGCAGAGGAAAAGAUUUACCAUCUGGGGUCAGCCAGACCUGGAUUUGAAUCUUUUUUUUUUGGUACCAGGGAUCGAACUCAGGACCUUGCGCUUGCAAGGCAGGCGGCACAACCACUGAGCUAAUUCCCGGUAGGAUUUGAAUCUUGACACUGUUUCUUUUUUUUUUUUGGUACCGGGGUCGAACUCAGGACCUUGUGCUUGCAAGGCAGGUGUGGUGCCACUGAGGUAAAUCCCCAGCCCCUUGACACUGCUUUUUUUUUUUUUUGGUACCAGGGAUAGAACUUGGGACCCUGUGCUUGCGAGGCAGGCAGAGGCACCACUGAGCUAAAUCCCCCACCCGACACUGCUUCUUAUAAGCCAUGUGACCUUGAGCAAGGUACAUCCCUCUCUCAGCCUUAGUUUCCUCUUCUGUAAAAUUGGGAGAAUAUAAAUUCUUAAUGAGGGUGGUCAUUUUGAUGAUAUGAUCAAGCAUACUUUACAAGCAGUGCAUGUAAAGCUCCUGAAAGUGCAGCAGACAAAUUGUGAGCACCCCAGAAGUGGUCAGGUUAUAAUCUCCUGCCCCACCUCCUGGAAGACUCAGUCUGGCACCAAGAAUAUCUUCCU